GAAGAGCAGAAUACAUAAAAACAUCACUUGUAUGGAAUUUUUUUAACACAAAAAGGAAAUAAAUGUAGCUAUUUGUAACACUUGUCAACUCUGUUCAAAGGCGGAGGGGAAGGCAGGACAGGGACACUUGAACAACCAUAACAAACAGGUGUGGAUAGAAACUAGGGCGGAGGCCAUCCUUCGCACGGUCCUGCUAAUCCUACUGUGUCUAGCAGUUCUAAAUUUAUCCAACAACAAAUAAACCUUAAGAUGGGAGGUUUACAUUUGUCUAACAGAUUCAAAGAUCAUAAUGAAUCACUUCUUCCGG
RNAcentral lists this long non-coding RNA (307 nucleotides) under Solanum tuberosum (potato). RNAcentral's name for it is "long non-coding RNA (STUB_LNC006368)". Lineage: Eukaryota; Viridiplantae; Streptophyta; Magnoliopsida; Solanales; Solanaceae. The record is from RNAcentral.